This 81-nucleotide small nucleolar RNA is filed under the name Carlito syrichta (Philippine tarsier). RNAcentral's name for it is "Small nucleolar RNA SNORD121A (ENSTSYG00000021245.2)". It matches the Rfam family "Small nucleolar RNA SNORD121A". Lineage: Eukaryota; Metazoa; Chordata; Mammalia; Primates; Tarsiidae. The record is from Rfam by way of RNAcentral.
CAAAAGUAAAACAAUAAAGUUAUAAUUUCCCAGCACAUAUCUGAUUAUUCCAUGUGAAAUUUAACUACUCUGAGUUUCCUG